This 484-nucleotide ribosomal RNA is filed under the name uncultured bacterium. RNAcentral's name for it is "partial 16S ribosomal RNA". It matches the Rfam family "Bacterial small subunit ribosomal RNA", at positions 30 to 507 of the family's 1533-position model. The record is from RNAcentral.
AUUGAACGCUGGCGGCAGGCCUAACACAUGCAAGUCGAGCGGAUGAAGGGAGCUUGCUCCUGGAUUCAGCGGCGGACGGGUGAGUAAUGCCUAGGAAUCUGCCUGGUAGUGGGGGAUAACGUCCGGAAACGGGCGCUAAUACCGCAUACGUCCUGAGGGAGAAAGUGGGGGAUCUUCGGACCUCACGCUAUCAGAUGAGCCUAGGUCGGAUUAGCUAGUUGGUGGGGUAAAGGCCUACCAAGGCGACGAUCCGUAACUGGUCUGAGAGGAUGAUCAGUCACACUGGAACUGAGACACGGUCCAGACUCCUACGGGAGGCAGCAGUAGGGAAUCUUGGGCAAUGGGCGAAAGCCUGACGCAGCCACGCCGCGUGAGUGAAGAAGGUCUUCGGAUUGUAAAACUCUUUUAUUAGGGAAGAAGAGAAGUGAAAGUAACUCUUGAUGUUUUGACGGUACCAAAAGAGUAAGCAACGGCUAACUUCGUG